This 449-nucleotide ribosomal RNA is filed under the name uncultured bacterium. RNAcentral describes it as "partial 16S ribosomal RNA". It matches the Rfam family "Bacterial small subunit ribosomal RNA", at positions 29 to 523 of the family's 1533-position model. The record is from RNAcentral.
AACGAACGCUGGCGGCAGGCUUAACACAUGCAAGUCGAACGCAUCCUUCGGGGUGAGUGGCAGACGGGUGAGUAACGCGUGGGAACGUGCCCUUCAGUUCGGGAUAACCCAGGGAAACUUGGGCUAAUACCGGAUACGUGCGAGAGCAGAAAGAUUUAUCGCUGAAGGAUCGGCCCGCGUCUGAUUAGCUAGUUGGUGGGGUAAUGGCCCACCAAGGCGACGACCAGUAGCUUGUCUGAGAGGAUGAUCAGCCACAUUGGGACUGAGACACGGCCCCAACUCCUGCGGGAGGCAGCAGUGGGGAAUAUUGGACAAUGGGCGCAAGCCUGAGCCAGCCAUGCCGCGUGAGUGAUGAAGGCCUUAGGGUUGUAAAGCUCUUUCGUCCGGGACGAUAAUGACGGUACCGGAAGAAGAAGCCCCGGCUAACUUCGUGCCAGCCGCCGCAGUAA